GUUCCGGCUCCUCCCCCUUCUCGCCGUCGCCUGGGUCCCGCCAAAAUGCGGGAGUAGGUGGCAGCGGACCUGCGGACCCGGUUCCUGGGGGACUCUGUGGAGAACCUGAACAAGUCCCAGCUGAAGAUGGGCAUCUGGGGCGGGAAGCGCGAGGGCGCGGGGCCGCGACACCCGGCCCGCCAGGCCGUCCGGUGACAGCCACGGGCUCCGGAGGAGGCGGGAGCGCGCCCGCGCCACCUCGUCCUCUCCCCGCGUCUCUCCCCACCCGCGAUCGGCGCUCAGUAAAGCGGCUCCCAAGAAAAGGAAAGGAAAUGGCCUUUCUCACUCAUCUUCGCCAGCAUCUUACAGCAGAUAAAUGAACUUUGAAAAUUCCUUGGAAAAACCUUUAUGAAGAAGCAGGUGUUGCUACCCUGCAUGGAUUAUAGCUGAGAUUGUCCCUGGAACAAGUAUUGAAAAUGAUGCUGAGAAAGAAGAAAAAUCCUUACACGAUAUUAAACAGAAAGAGCUUUCUGGAAUUGAAGAUGCCCUUCAAAAAGCAGCAGAGAAAGGUGAUUCAGUCUGGACCAAAAAAUUAAGGAAAAAGUCUGCUGACACAGGAGGGAAAUGUGCCAGGCUGAUUUAGUAGGUUUUGGAGAAAGGAUUCAAGAAAAAAAGAUGAAGAAUCAUUCAUUCCUGAAACUACAGCUGACCUUAUGACUCCAGAGGAAAAAGAUAAACUCUUUCCUGCUAUUGGUUAUAGUGAGAACACUUUAACUUAACUUUACCCAAGCAGUAUGUUGCCCACAUAAUGACCCUGAAGUUAGUAAGCGCCUCUGUCACACUCAGAGAAAACAAAAAUAUUCCAGAAAUACUAAAAUUCAGAUAAUUGACCUGGGCACCCAUGUAUCUCAGCGACCAGGAGCACAAGCUCUAAGGUAAAUUUAAAAACUUCAGUGUUUACUUCUAAUUAUGAUUCUAGGCCAAAAAUGUAGAACGUUAUUCAGCAUUAAAAACUGAGUUAGUAAUAGCUCUUCUUUAAUUCCUUUUCUUGGUGUGUGCCAGGAUAGUCUUUUAUGUUUUGUUUUAUAAUGGAACAAUAUAAUUCAUGAUUUAUUCCACCCUUCAUCCUUUC
Molecule: non-coding RNA, 1111 nt
Organism: Castor canadensis (American beaver)
Lineage: Eukaryota; Metazoa; Chordata; Mammalia; Rodentia; Castoridae
Source: RefSeq, a predicted model, not a curated record